CUUUACCAAAUGAAACAAAAAACAGAGAACUGGAGAAAAGAAAAGGUCUGGAUCCUAGAAAAUUUGUGUAAAAAGUCAGAUUUCCUUUAUACACAGCACACACUGGCUUUACAGGACCUACACAACAUCAGUUCACAUGUGGAAAGAUUGCAAGAUCUCAUGAAUUUCCAGAUAAAAAUUCUUCAAGAAAAGUCUAAAAAGGCAGAAGGAGAAAAUUCAGAUGUGUCAGAGGUUUUAGUAUUAAAAACAGACCAAACAGCUGAUGAAGAACAGAAGACUGACUGGUCAGUGGAACAGCAGUAUCUUUGGCAAGCUCACACCAUCCUGCAGGAGAUAAAAGAAUCUUUACAGAAACGAGAGAGGGAAGUCACUGAGCUCUUGGAAACUGAGAGAAGAUUUAACAAGGCAAUGAAACCUCAAGUGACGGUGCUAUUAUUCUUAAAAUCUCUUAUCAAGAUGGUUCACACCAUAUAUUGUGAUGUCCCUGGGGCACAGCAAUGCAUCCAUCAGCUUAUCAGGAAGAACAAGGAUGAAAGGCCUGAUCUAGAAGAAGUUUUUAAUAAUGCUCAGGCUGACAUUCUGUCCUAUGAAAUAUUUUGUGGAAAUGAACUUAUGGAUGACACAAGGGCACACUUCCCAGCGAAGCUUUUCAGAAACCUUGGGAAAGCAAAGUCUGAUUUAGAAUAUAUUGAAACAGAAGAAAUUGUGUUUGAUUGUAUCCAGACAGGAGAAAUCCCCAGCUGGAUUAAAAGGGAUUGUCUGUAUGUAGCCUGGUCAGGUUUACUAGGCAAUGAAGAAACACUCAGAGAGAUACCAACACUGAAACAAGCUCCCAGUUUUAGAAAGAAGCACUGGAGAGAAAGCUUGAAGCACAAAAGCACUUUCUUCAGUAUCUUUUGAAUGGACAAAAAAUUGGAAGCAUUCAAUACCUGUGAUUCACUAAAUAUCAGAAAACUUAUGCAGGCAUUUAAAUGUUUUGAAAAUUUUCUGCUGUUUAAUAAACAUUUUUAAGAAAUCUUCUAAAAGAAAGAA
Molecule: long non-coding RNA, 1032 nt
Filed under: Chloebia gouldiae (Gouldian finch)
Lineage: Eukaryota; Metazoa; Chordata; Aves; Passeriformes; Passeridae
Description: Erythrura gouldiae (Gouldian finch) lncRNA (ENSEGOG00005015868.1)
Source: RNAcentral